Non-coding RNA from Osmia lignaria (orchard mason bee), 2389 nucleotides. NCBI's taxonomy places the organism in Eukaryota, Metazoa, Arthropoda, Insecta, Hymenoptera, Megachilidae. The record is from RefSeq and is a predicted model, not a curated record.
GAUUCUUUAUUGAGAAGAUUUUUGAAUAGCAAUUCUGAAGAAAAUAAUCUUUAUAAUAUAUUUUCCAGAUUUCAUCGAACAUGGUUUAGAACUGCACCCAUCGUUUGCACGAUACCGUUGACGUAUAUUUUAUCUUCAUGAACGCUAUAAAAAGCCGUAUUUCAAACGGACACGUCGAUAAUCGGUGCUUGCUAGGUGACAAUAUCUAUAGGUGUAUGCAGAACAAUCAGUGAGUCACUGAAAACCUUCGCUCGAUACAUAGCACCGUAUUCUUGGAAAAGGUCUGUGAAUGAAUCCGUUCCAACAAUAAGAAUCCUCGUAUCAAUCAACGCGGCAAAAUCGAUCAGAGCGGACAAUGAAGUAAUAGGAAUCUUUGGCUGACGAUAGUGUCUGGUCGCAGAGAACAUGAAAAAUUGCAUAAAAACAAUUUCAAAAUACUCAGUUUAUUUUAAAUCUUACUUUUCAGCUGAACAGCAGAAAGUGUUAAAUAUACUUGAGAAGAAGCAAUGUCCAACAACGGAACGACCAAUUUUAGCUGAACUAUCGAACGAUCACUCUAGCUUGCGUUUCAGAAAGUUUUUAAAAAAUGUUUCCAAUCCACAGGAAAAAUGAAAGUAAACUCCUUGUUGAAUCGAUAAGCGGUAUGACCGUCAAACGCAUUAUUGCUUAUGCAAUUGAUCAGAAAUUUAGUAUGAUUGGAUGGUAAGAAAAAUGUAUAGCAAUUGCAUUAAUAACACGUUGACUGUCGCAAGACUUUUUGUUAAAGUAUGACAGACAACGUAUUAACGACUGUCACUACAUUGUCAUUUCUAUUGUGACAGUCAACUAUGAUAAUUGCCGACUUCGGACAAGGUCUUAUUGAUUCCUGACACUUGACGAUUACGUGGUUCAAUGAAAUUACCGUUGUUUAGUGUCCACCAGGUUGGAAAAUGAGCAAUGAUUCAGAAAAAAGGAGAGCACGCUCAAUGGCGCUGCACUUGAACUUAUCGCACGAUCGUUAAACGUUCAAUAUCGAUGGGAAACGUAACUUAUAAUAGGCUAUUCGAUCGGACGUAUUUUUACGAUCAAUUUACGAUUGAAAUUACCAUCCGUCGUUUGUAUCUAAAGAAAAAGUAGAUUUAUCGUUGUUUGAUUAAUCGAGCAACCGAUACUCCAAUUUAUUUUCAACGAUGUAAUUGAAUAUUCAUUCCACUUCCAUUUCUUACACUGGAAUCUUGAAACGAGAGUAGAUUGGCAUAGUGUAUAUUACGCUCUUACAGCAACGUCCUCUAAUUUUCGUUCAUUUAAUUUUCUAGGGCAACCCGAGUUAACUCUGAUCCCAAUUCAUUCACAAGGAGAAGCACUUCGGAUAUUAUGCACCAAGUUUGAAUGAAACUCAGCAAUCGGAUCAAGCUUGAAAAGGUUGGAAAUGAUCUUAUGGAAAGGUGAUUAAACCGGAUGGUUUAAGAAAACGUGUUCAACCGUCGAGAAUGAUGCUUCGUUUACUUGAUAGAUGAAAGAUAGCAUUAGUGGCUCAUCGUUUAUGGCGAAGAAAAAUUGCAGGGCAGAACGCGGUGACGAGUUCUUGAAUUAAUGACUCAAAGAGGCGCGAACGAUGCGACGGUAAUUGCGUUUCUCCCGCUGACGAGGGGUGCAACGCAGAGAAAACAAAUUACUCUCUCAUUGCUGCUUCCUGCUGCCUAUUUGGGACUGACUGAGUUUAUUUUUUCACACUGUUAUUCAUUUCAAUGCAAUGAAUUCUAACUUCAAUCUCUCACAAGAUUAGCUAACUUAUUUAUAACUCGUUAAAAAACUGACGACCUUAUAUUUUUAUACAGAAAAGAAACUGAAAAUGUUCUAAUCAAGUCUGUUCGCUCGUAUUCGACUGGAAAACACCGAACGCAUAAUCUUGUUUUUGCAUCAGAAGGCUUCCUUAAAUACAUACAUCAUUAUUACCGAGCCUCGCUUUUAAACCAACAUUUAGAACAGACGAGCUGGUCGACCAAAAAAUUUACAGACGCGUGUUGCGUGCGGAAGGUGGUCCGUUGACGCAUUGCAGAAUAGGAACGGUAGGGAGGUGAGCGAAACCGGUAAAAAGGGUAGAGGAGAGCAAAAGAAAGAUGCAAAAAGUAGCUAGAGAUGGUGACGCUUUUUUAGCCGAAUAAGAAACGCAAGUUGGUCCGUGGGUUUAGUAAAUCAAUUUCGUCGAAGGACGAUCCAAGUCCGAGCAUUGCGACGGGGUCAACGAGCCGCACGGCGGCCGCAUUAAUUAAGUAAACGCUGCUCCUAUUGCCGACCUUUUUCAACGGUUAAUCGCGAAUGGUACUAGCGGGUGUCCAGAAUUAACGCAGCACGUGCGGCUUCGAUCAAGAUACCCUCAUCGCUCCUUUCGUCGAAUGACGAAACAAAU